ACUAAGGUUUUUUUAAAAACCACAAAGAUGAUUUAAUUAAAAGAAA
This is a non-coding RNA of Homo sapiens (human), 46 nucleotides long. The record is from Rfam. NCBI's taxonomy places the organism in Eukaryota, Metazoa, Chordata, Mammalia, Primates, Hominidae.